Non-coding RNA from Oryza sativa Japonica Group (Japanese rice), 1725 nucleotides. Lineage: Eukaryota; Viridiplantae; Streptophyta; Magnoliopsida; Poales; Poaceae. The record is from RefSeq and is a predicted model, not a curated record.
AUUAAUUUGGAUUUAAACUCCAUUCCUCAAUUCCCUACACAAAUUAGAAAGCCUUCCUAUUCAUUUGGGCCCAAUUUUCCCUCUCUUCCUUCGGCCCAGACCGGCCCAAGUCGGCCCAGCACCUCCAACUCAAGCCGACUCCCUGCUCCUCCUCCCGUGGGCGCUUCCAGGCGCCGCCACCGUGCGCCAUUACUGCCGCCGUGCACGACUCAGCUACCGUCGCCUCCAUCUUGCCGUCGACGCGAAGGAACCGCCACCCGGCGUCAGCUACACUUCAUUCCGCCGACGUCAGCAACAGGGAUGAACCGCCAUCGUCGGCCAAUCAGAGGACAGAGCCGGCGCCGUCAUUCUUUCCUCCACGUCGCUGCAGCCGUGUCCUCAUCGUCCUUCUCCUCUGAACCGCCAUCAGCCACCGCCUCUCGCCGCCUAUAAAUAUAAGGCGAGCCCUCCCCUUUUCUCCACACAUCAACAGAGCCUCGAGCUCCCUUUCUCUCUCUCCAUCCAUGGUCGAUCGUCGACGCCGUCGGUCGAUCUCCCCAUCCGUAGCUCCACCUCCCCUAUCCUCGCGCCACCGGCUUCGCCUCCAUCCGGCGAGUCCUUUUUUCCCCUUUCCCCUUUCCCUCCACCUCUAAGUCAAGCCACCACCGCCAUCAUCCAUGCCGGCUCGAGGUGAGCCCUUGCCGCCGCCGUUCCGGCUAUAUAUCUCUCCCUCUUGGCCAUCCACCGACCUUCCCAAGUGCGCGUCGCUCGGGAACACGCGUGGCCGCCGCCUUCGAGGCCGUUCAUCCACCGGAGCAUCGGCGCCCCUCCUCUUCCUUCUCUCUGGAAGAGAAGAAAAAGCAGAAGGAAGGAAGGAGGAAGAAGAAAGAGAAAAGAAGAAGAGACAAAGAACUGACAGCCACUAAAAAGCCGCCGGUUGAAACUUUACGCCUUCCAUGGGGACGUUCGGGGUUUUCUAUCCCCGACGUCAAACCGUUGGUUGUAAAGCCCGGUAUAAACCAAACCUAAGGUCGAAGUGCUGCUCCUGGCACCCCACGCCUUGAUGCGUAUAGCGGUCGGAGCUUCACUAUUCCAUUGACCUCCACAGCACGCCGCACAGUUAGCUCAUGUCGUCAACAUCUUGAACCAGACUAAGACUAUGAUCGCUGCCUCGGUUCCGGCCAACUCCGCAAGUACCCGCACCCCGACUGGUAGCCGAGUACCUCCUCUUCGAUCUCAAGAUUAUCACCAGCCAAGCCUCAGCGUCGCCGGUGCCGGACCUAGUCGCAGGAGCAGGGGACAUGGUGAGCGAUCUGUCCGCUCGCCUCCCGAACGACAUAGGGAGCGUCGAGUUGAACGACCACACUCCCCACAUCGAAGGCGCCCCGUCGAUCUUCGCGACACCAUCAACCAGCGCCGCGCAGCAAGAGGCCAUACUCCCCAUCAUUCACCAGAUCGCUACGACGACGAUAUGGACGGAGUUGCUGCCUUCACAAAUGAUCUGCAUCGAGUGGAUUGGCCAGCCGGCUUUAAGCCGACUGGAAUCGAGAAGUAUGACGGCACCACCAACCCUGAGUCUUGGCUCACCGUCUAUGGUCUCGCAAUCCGCGCAGCAGGAGGAGACAGCAAAGCCAUGUCGAAUUAUCUGCCUGUGGCCUUAGCGGAUUCUGCCCGGUUGUCACAUCCUGAUUUUCGUUUCAGGAUUUAUAAAUUAUUUAAUAAAUUAUUAUUAGAAUUUAUAUUAAA